GCUCAUCAGUCAUCCAGUUUGUGACCCGAGCCAAAGUGAAAGUGGAUGCUACUCUCAGGGUGGUGGAAAUAGCCAACGGGAACCCAGAAGAGGUCAUGGUGGUCUUUGAAGCGCUGCACAAUUUGGAGCCUCGUGGUUAUGUUGUGGGCUGGAUUAUUGCCAUCAGCUUGCUGGUGGGCAUCCUCAUCUUUUUGUUACUGGCCGUGCUCUUGUGGAAGAUGGGCUUCUUUCGCAGAAGGUACAAAGAAAUUAUUGAAGCUGAGAAAAACCGGAAAGAGAAUGAAGACAGUUGGGACUGGGUCCAGAAAAGCCAGUGAGGCACCAUGCAACCCACCACCGGUCACGUGCCGCCAUGCCUGCUCACCUCUUGUCCCUGUUCUUUGUAUCUUCCAUAUGUGGAAGAAGGAAUCUUCUCCAGAUUUUUCGGAGGCCCGUCGAUGCAGUCUUGUUCCUCGUUCUACCAAUCAAGGGAGCAGAUCCCGAGGCCACCCCUGCAGCGCUGGCACGUGACCUGAGCAGCGCACCGAGGCUGGAACGGGUGAAUCAUGAACUCCAGAGAGCAAGCUGUGUGCUGAGCAAUAUUUAUGAGUCCAACGUAUGUGGUAAACCCUCAGGGGAAGACUUGCCUAGAAGUAUUUUUUAUAAAUACAAGCCUUUUAUACUGAUUAUGUCUUUAUAUUUGUAUCAAUGUUUUAUUAUUUCUAUUAAAUAGCUAUAUAGUUCACUCAAGCACUGAUUUCUGGCUGAAACCUGGGAGAUACAUAUAUAUGUAUGUGUGUGUGUGUGUAUAUAAAUAUAUUUUAAAAACCUA
This is a long non-coding RNA of Vombatus ursinus (common wombat), 811 nucleotides long. RefSeq lists it as uncharacterized. NCBI's taxonomy places the organism in Eukaryota, Metazoa, Chordata, Mammalia, Diprotodontia, Vombatidae. The transcript has 3 exons. The record is from RefSeq and is a predicted model, not a curated record.